Non-coding RNA from Camellia sinensis, 441 nucleotides. Lineage: Eukaryota; Viridiplantae; Streptophyta; Magnoliopsida; Ericales; Theaceae. The record is from RefSeq and is a predicted model, not a curated record.
UGUAUAAGAGUUGAGCUCAUUCUUAUCAAUUAAGGGCUCAAGAUAUUUGGAGAGGGAGAGAAAGUUCUAGAGAAAGAGUGAAACAAGAGGAGGAAAAAGAUCAAAGGGGGAAUUAAGCCAAAUCUUCACCAAAUCAAGCAUCUAAGGUCAAGACUCGGAGACCAUACAACCGGUUUUGGAAGCCCAUUGUGAGCGUUCUGGAGGACAAGCCUAGGAGGGGUCUUUAGUUGAGCCACCGUUUUGAAGCUUAUCGAGUUGUUUCCUGUGCCUCCGAGUUGGGGCUAGGCCUGGAAGGCCGUUGUUAAUCUUUUGAUCAUGUACACUUUUGACCCGUGCAUAUGUUUUGCAUAAGAUAUUAUGUUAUACGUUAUGUAAUGUAUGUGGGUAAAUUAAUGUUUUUGCAUGUACAUAUUUAAUCAUAUAGAUGCACAAUUCAUUGGA